RNAcentral lists this ribosomal RNA (316 nucleotides) under Staphylococcus epidermidis. Its description in RNAcentral is "partial 23S ribosomal RNA". It matches the Rfam family "Bacterial large subunit ribosomal RNA", at positions 674 to 986 of the family's 2925-position model. Lineage: Bacteria; Bacillati; Bacillota; Bacilli; Caryophanales; Staphylococcaceae. The record is from RNAcentral.
AAACCGAGUCUUAACUGGGCGAAUGAGUUGCAGGGUAUAGACCCGAAACCCGGUGAUCUAUCCAUGGGCAGGUUGAAGGUUGGGUAACACUAACUGGAGGACCGAACCGACUAAUGUUGAAAAAUUAGCGGAUGACUUGUGGAUGGGGGUGAAAGGCCAAUCAAACCGGGAGAUAGCUGGUUCUCCCCGAAAGCUAUUUAGGUAGCGCCUCGUGAAUUCAUCUUCGGGGGUAGAGCACUGUUUCGACUAGGGGGUCAUCCCGACUUACCAACUCGAUGCAAACUGCGAAUACCGAAGAAUGUUAUCACGGGAGACA